Molecule: long non-coding RNA, 226 nt
Filed under: Phoenix dactylifera (date palm)
Lineage: Eukaryota; Viridiplantae; Streptophyta; Magnoliopsida; Arecales; Arecaceae
Description: long non-coding RNA (PDAC_LNC010517)
Source: RNAcentral
AGUGGAUGGCAAGAAAACUUAAGAAGAAGAACUUCAUGGCUGAAUGGAGUGAAAGUGAGGCGUCAAGUUCGGAAGAAGAAGAUCAAUAAGAGACGACCCAAAUCUGCCAUAUGGCUAAUGACGAUGAGGUAGAUUCUGAACUUGAAUGUGAUUUUACUGUUGAAGAAUUACAUGAUGCAUUUUUAGAACUCAUGGAAGAACACAAAAAACUAAUAAAUAAAAAUAA